UGACCGACAGUACCUGUCGCCAGACCCACGCGCCUCCACAAAAUGGGCUCGCAACCUCGCUGGCCCACUCGCUGGACAUUGUCCCAAAAGAAGAUGAACAUCUCUGUUCCUCUUCCUCCGCCACCACGACCGUUCGUCGUCGUCGUCCCCACGAGGCCACCAAUGUGGAGCGAUGGCUUAAUAGUCAUAAAAACGCACUAAUCCCAACAUUCAAAGAGUGGAAAAUGCUCAUUGGAACUCAUCUGUCGUUGCCGUCCCUCCAGGUUAAAAAUCAGGCCAUGUUGCCAUCCGCAUCCGCAUCAAUCAAACGACCUCCAGGGUUGCAUCUGGCCGCUCCCCGUUCUAAUUCCUCCUUUAAUUUUCCAAUCCCUCAACCCUCCAUAUAUAUUCCCAAUUUCGAGGUUGAGCUCCCGCUGGAAAUAUGCUCACAGUUCUACCCGUACUCCGGAUUCAAUUGGAUUAUGUCUCCUCUCCUGAUUUCUUUGGAUUUCUUCGCAUUGUUGUCUGCUCGCGGGAGAUUUCUUUGAGUCAUUGACUUCCCGGUCUGUUGGCCAUCAUCACGUCAACUGACUGCUGAUACUGCAGAGCGCCUACUCAUUUCCAAGUCCCAAUCUUAGAUUCGUGCUGGAGUGUCAAUGGAUUGUUUUGCUGCCUAAGCAAGUAUUGCAGGUCAAGUCAUGUGCUCUGGUUUUGUCGCUACAAGGCAUAUCUGAUCGUGGUGUCACUCACAGAGCAGCAACAGCCGAUCUUACACAGGCCUCGAGUUUCUUCUACACAAUUUAUCUGAGUUAAAUUUGUUGGUUUCUCUUCUAACAUUUUAAUCUUUCUCGCAGGAUGCAAACUUCUUAUAGAUAAAUUCGUCCCGUUUGGACCUGUACCGUGCAACCUAUCUUUGGAAGUCUUGGGAAUUGAGAUAUGAAGCGUUGAUUUAUCCAUGCAUUUAAUUUGAAUAGUGUUAUGUCAUUUAGAAGUAACAGAAGAAACCGUCCUGGUAAAUAAGAUAUGGGAAGUGAGAUUCGUAAAAAAGACAGUGGUAAUCAGGAGUUGCUCAAUAAUGACUGUAGUACUUCCAAUUGUUGUUUAUCUGAUCCCUACUGUGAUUUGUUUUCAUUGUCAGCCUUGCAGGUGCCUCGAUGGGUCCAUAGUGCAGGCAACAACUAAACGUGUGUUUGUAUUCCAUCGAAUAUCAAUGGUUCACGCACGAGCAAUCUCUCUUUCUUCCAGCAGCAUAGGGCUAUUGUUGUGGUAAAUUGGAUUGAUCAUUUUAUUAUUACCUGAUACUUAGUGUUGUGUCUCUUAAAUUAUAUAUCAUGUUAACUUUAUUUCUUAUUCAAGUCAAGAUGACUAUGAAGUUCUUGAGGAUUCCUAUUGGCAUGCUUCUGCCAACUCUGUGCAAUAUUGUUCAUGCCAUCCCUGGAAACGGUCCAUCCCUGGAUACUUCUUCCGUAUCUUGAUAUUUGUUUGGCUUCACAAAACACAUGCGCAACCCAAUCCGAGUAUCAACUCGAUUGAGUUAAUAAACGGUAUCACACAUGUAUACUGGACGUGGCGCAUUGGGGUCAAAAACUCAUGUCAGAGGUUAUUUCUUCCCAUGUUUCUGAACAUCUGAUUUUGCUAUCAUUCAUAUACAAAGCAACUAGGUAUGUAGCUGUAAAAACAGUAACUAGAUAUGCCAGGUCCCGUCUUUUAGGUCUCCAACAAGUUAUGUAAUCUCCCUGCAAAAAAAAACAAGUUAUGCAAUCUUAUGCAAGGCAGAUUUCACGGAUUAACUGGCUCAUAAAUGUAUUUUUCAUAUAGACUUUUUCUACUAAUUAAACCUACGAUGAUGUGAUUUUAGGAAGGAAAGUGCAGAAAUGUGGUGUACAACCAUCUGAUUUUAGAGAUAAGGGCGUCAGAUUCUGCAUGUUUUGGGCUCAUGAGAUGUAAACAAUUGACAUCGCUAGCUACUCCAGUUUGUAUAAUUGUUCUCAUAGUUCCGAAAUCUGGCAUGCAUUCAGAUGCGUGUUAUAUUCUUUAUCUUGAGAGCUACCUUUCAUUUCCCAUUUCUGUGUCCUAAUUUGGUUCAGACAUGCAUUUUGCAUGAUUUAGGAUGCUUUAUUGUCUCUCUUUUUUAUGUAUCUCAGAACAUGCUUCUUUGAUCUGUAAAAUAUCUCAAGUGAAUUUGGCACUCUUAAUUUGAAUGUACAUAUGUGCAAAACAGAUUAGAAAGGAGCUCAUCCUUAGUAAAAGAAAAAAUAUUCACUUACUGUGAGUCAUUCGUAAUCAACUUCAAAGAAUCUUUGUUCUUGCCUGAAAUCAGUGAAAUCCUGUUCAAAGCAAUCAAAUGUACAGGUGCUGGUGACAUGUGACUUGAUCAGAUGCAGUUAGAGGCAGUUUCAUGUGACUGGUCUACAAUGUACCACUCAAUAUUUGAGCUUAUCAUGUUCUUUUUCUUUAGUCCCAUUAAAUUAUUUCUCAAUUUCCCGCUGCAACGCGCAGGGUAUCAUCUAGUUAACUCUGUUAAGCAACUCAUAUAUCGAUACUUUUGACAGCCGCUCAUAACCUGCCUCAUUCCUCUCGGUUGAAAAUAAUAAUAAUGCAAAACCUUCGGAUAGAAACAACAUGCUUGCUGCAUUCGUCCUCACUCCUCUAGGUUUACUGUACAGCAUCCUGGGUUAAGCCAGGUUAGCUAGUGGAAGCUGGUUUCGAAUGUUUGUUCACAGUACCUAGUGAGCAGCUCAACAUCAGGCUGACCAUACAGAAUGCUACAAAUAUAUCAGGAGGUCUACUCAAGAGGGAAACAUGUUUCAUCAUCUGAUUCCUAUGUGGUAUA
Long non-coding RNA from Lolium perenne, 2812 nucleotides. RefSeq lists it as uncharacterized. The record is from RefSeq and is a predicted model, not a curated record. NCBI's taxonomy places the organism in Eukaryota, Viridiplantae, Streptophyta, Magnoliopsida, Poales, Poaceae.